This 497-nucleotide ribosomal RNA is filed under the name uncultured bacterium. RNAcentral describes it as "partial 16S ribosomal RNA". It matches the Rfam family "Bacterial small subunit ribosomal RNA", at positions 28 to 507 of the family's 1533-position model. The record is from RNAcentral.
GAUGAACGCUGGCGGCGUGCCUAAUACAUGCAAGUCGAGCGAACAGACGAGGAGCUUGCUCCUCUGACGUUAGCGGCGGACGGGUGAGUAACACGUGGAUAACCUACCUAUAAGACUGGGAUAACUUCGGGAAACCGGAGCUAAUACCGGAUAAUAUAUUGAACCGCAUUGUUCAAUAGUGAAAGACGGUUUUGCUGUCACUUAUAGAUGGAUCCGCUCCGCAUUAGCUAGUUGGUAAGGUAACGGCUUACCAAGGCAACGAUGCGUAGCCGACCUGAGAGGGUGAUCGGCCACACUGGAACUGAGACACGGUCCAGACUCCUACGGGAGGCAGCAGUAGGGAAUCUUCCGCAAUGGGCGAAAGCCUGACGGAGCAACGCCGCGUGAGUGAUGAAGGUCUUCGGAUCGUAAAACUCUGUUAUUAGGGAAGAACAAAUGUGUAAGUAACUAUGCACGUCUUGACGGUACCUAAUCAGAAAGCCACGGCUAACUACGUG